CGGAGGGGGCAAGCGUUGUUCGGAAUUACUGGGCGUAAAGGGCGCGCAGGCGGCUUGGCAAGUUGGGCGUGAAAGCCCUGGGCUUAACCCAGGAAUUGCGCUUGAGACUGCCGGGCUUGAGUGCGGGAGAGGUGAGUGGAAUUCCCAGUGUAGAGGUGAAAUUCGUAGAUAUUGGGAAGAACACCAGUGGCGAAGGCGGCUCACUGGCCCGCAACUGACGCUGAGGCGCGAAAGCGUGGGGAGCAAACAGGAUUAGAUACCCUGGUAGUCCACGCUGUAAACGAUGGGUGCUAGACGUCGGGGGACUUGGUCCCUGGGCGUCGCAGCUAACGCAUGAAGCACCCCGCCUGGGGAGUACGGCCGCAAGGUUA
Molecule: ribosomal RNA, 371 nt
Filed under: uncultured organism
Description: bacterial SSU rRNA
Rfam family: Bacterial small subunit ribosomal RNA
Source: RNAcentral